UGUAAUAUUACUUUAAUAUUUAAUAUUACUUACAUUUACAUUUCUACAUGUUACUUUAGGAAAUAAUUUUUAUACUUUGGUUUAUUUAAGCAUAAUGUACCAGAAAAAAUAUACCAAGUUUUACAAAAAGAAAAGUAAUUAGAUUCACAAAGAGUGUGUUAUUUUUUACAUAUUUGUAUACAUUUGAUUGAUGGAUAUAUUAGAGGAGGCUAGCCAUCAUAUCAAAUAUAGGUUGCCGCUGGUUUCACAGAAUGUAAAAAAAAAAAAAAACACUACACCUAUACAUAAACAUACAUAAAUACUAAAGGAGGAGCAAGGACUGUACAACAAGCCAAUUUAAUGUCCCCUAAAACUGGAUGAUAUUUUUGUUAUGAAAGUCCAUUUUUCAUUUACUGGAUCCAGUCCAUCUCCAAAGUCCUUUUCAAAACUACUGUCUACCCUAUAAAGGAGUCCUCAAGGCCCAGAUUUACUGUCAGUCCUCCACUCAUGUGAUAUCCAGUGAAGAUUUCAAAUGGCUCUGGUGUCAGAUCCAUUCCUCACUCAUAACAUCUGGGCAGAUCUGGAUGAAAUGUAGUACUUAGAUCAUUGGUUACUAGAUAUGGAGACCUUGAUGAUGCCUCCCAUUUGGUCUUUGAUCUGGAGAUGAAUGAUGCUCAUCAGCAGCCCACAUUCUUAGACAUUCUGAGCCUCACUGAGGGAUUCCUCCUUCCAUUGCUUCUGCCAUUUGCAUGAAGACACUAGAGGCUAGGGCUACCUUGAAGUUUGCCUUGGAUAUCAUAUCAAGAACUGACACUUUAGUGGACUGCUCCUGUUUUCAUCAGCUGGGAGCUGGACUUUGGAGUUUACACAAAAUGAUUAAAAACAACAAAAUAAUUGGAUCCAUUAAAUUGAUAUUAAUGUGGACUUAUAUGUAGAAUCUCAGAGUUCUAUUGCCUAUAUUGUUUCUAGCCCCAACAUGAGUUUUUAAAUAAAGCACUCAAUGCAUUAGAUACAGUAUGCAAACCAUUGUAUUGCAUAACACAUUUCCAUAAUACAAAUAAAUAUUGAUUAAAUCUUUUAAUUAAUGUAUUUAGGCUAAUUUAGUGUACGGCAAUUAAUUAUUAUUUUUUUUUUUACAUUUCCUGUGACAAAAAACAAACAAACAUGUUUUGGUCAUUUGUUGCAUCCCAUGUAUUUCUUUGCUUCUUUUUAUAUUAAUUGGACUUGACUUGACUUUUUUCAUUUUUUUUUUUUUUUUUUUUUUUGAUGUUGUAUAUGUAAAAUAUUUGUUGCAUGUUUUACUAAAUUGCUAUAAAGUGUUCUAAAAAGAUGAAGAAUAGAUUUUGGAAUUUACACCAAUAUAUGGAAGAUUAUAUGACUAAAAGAUGUAUGAAAUACUAACUGGUGGAUGAACUUUUUCCUUAUGAGAUAGUGGUAAUAAAGAAUGAGUUAAUGACACUAUAUUCAAGUGUAAAUAAAUAUUAUUUUGGAAAGAUCA
Long non-coding RNA from Carassius carassius (crucian carp), 1477 nucleotides. RefSeq lists it as uncharacterized. Lineage: Eukaryota; Metazoa; Chordata; Actinopteri; Cypriniformes; Cyprinidae. The transcript has 3 exons. The record is from RefSeq and is a predicted model, not a curated record.